Molecule: ribosomal RNA, 301 nt
Filed under: uncultured bacterium
Lineage: Bacteria
Description: partial 16S ribosomal RNA
Rfam family: Bacterial small subunit ribosomal RNA
Source: RNAcentral
CAGCAGCCGCGGGAAUACGGAGGGGGCUAGCGUUGUUCGGAAUUACUGGGCGUAAAGCGCACGUAGGCGGCUUGGUAAGUUAGAGGUGAAAGCCUGGAGCUCAACUCCAGAAUUGCCUUUAAGACUGCCGAGCUAGCAGGUGAGAGAGGUAAGUGGAAUUCCGAGUGUAGAGGUGAAAUUCGUAGAUAUUCGGAAGAACACCAGUGGCGAAGGCGGCUUACUGGCUCAUACUGGACGCUGAGGUGCGAAAGCGUGGGGAGCGAACAGGAUUAGAUACCCCUGUAGUCCCUGUCUCUUAUAC